Molecule: ribosomal RNA, 253 nt
Filed under: uncultured bacterium
Lineage: Bacteria
Description: partial 16S ribosomal RNA
Rfam family: Bacterial small subunit ribosomal RNA
Source: RNAcentral
GACGGAGGAUGCAAGUGUUAUCCGGAAUCACUGGGCGUAAAGCGUCUGUAGGUGGUUUAAAAAGUCCACUGUUAAAAAUUGAAGCUUAACUUCAAAGAUGCCGUGGAAACUUUUAAACUUGAGUAUGGUAGGGGUAGAGGGAAUUUCCAGUGGAGCGGUGAAAUGCGUAGAUAUUGGAAAGACCACCAAUGGCGAAGGCACUCUACUGGGCCAUUACUGACACUGAGAGACGAAAGCUAGGGGAGCGAAUGGG